UAUUCAACUUAGGACAAUCUCCAAUGGUCAUCUCUUCCAAACAAGGAAAACCAUGGAGCCUGUCAAGCGGCAAGGACGUCAACUCUGGACAGGAUACAAUACAAAUCUUCUUCACAACAGGGAGAUAAGAUGGUGUGAGGGAUUCAUCAAGAGUCAAUAAUCCUACACAAUUCCCAAUAGUUAGUCUAGCAAGGGAUGAUAAUGCUCCAAUACCGCUGCUGCUGCUGCUUGCUUCAGGGACUAGGAUAGAUAGUGGUUCUAGGAAUGAUAUCUUCUGAAUGUUCAAGCAAAAACGGAACUUAAGUGAACGUAACCUUGGCAAGAGAUUAGACUGGAGCCAGCUAGGACAAGAUCCACCUACAUAUGAUCUAGACUUUGUUCUCUUCCUGACAACUUGGAAAUAGUUCACUAGAUCCGAAAUCGUGCUGCAUAUACUUCCAGAGGCAUCACAUCAUUUAAAUUGAUGAUGACCAUCAAAAUCAUGUAGAGUUUCCAGAGAAUUCUCAACUAUGUAUUCGGCAUGAAUGGUUGUUAGCACCAUGGUAUAUAUGGCCAUUAUUUCAGCUGAUGCACUAUUUCAUGGCUUCGGCAUAAAUUAUAUGGGUGCAACCCUUUAUUAUUCAUUACGUAGGAUGAAAAUCGUUUUCUUUUCAAUUGCUUAUAUGUAUGUAUCUUCCUUGUAACUUGUAAGUGCGAAAAAAA
This 702-nucleotide ribosomal RNA is filed under the name Triticum aestivum (bread wheat). RNAcentral's name for it is "partial small subunit ribosomal RNA". The record is from RNAcentral. Lineage: Eukaryota; Viridiplantae; Streptophyta; Magnoliopsida; Poales; Poaceae.